GGCCGUGUGGCUCAAUGGCAGAGCGUCUGACUACGAUUAGCUCCUCACAUGUGAAGGACAUUAGUAACGUGAUCAGAAGGUCGCAGGUUCGACCCCUGUCUCGGUCA
Molecule: non-coding RNA, 107 nt
Organism: Claviceps digitariae
Lineage: Eukaryota; Fungi; Ascomycota; Sordariomycetes; Hypocreales; Clavicipitaceae
Source: the annotation of a GenBank genome assembly